UUUGCGUCGAAGGUAUACCGGUAAGGAGUGCUGGAGCGAAUAGAAGUGAGCAUGCAGGCAUGAGUAGCGAUAAUUAAUGUGAGAAUCAUUAACGCCGUAAACCCAAGGUUUCCUACGCGAUGCUCGUCAUCGUAGGGUUAGUCGGGUCCUAAGUCGAGUCCGAAAGGGGUAGACGAUGGCAAAUUGGUUAAUAUUCCAAUACCAACAUUAGUGUGCGAUGGAAGGACGCUUAGGGCUAAGGGGGCUAGCGGAUGGAAGUGCUAGUCUAAGGUCGUAGGAGGUUAUACAGGCAAAUCCGUAUAACAAUACUCCGAGAACUGAAAGGCUUUUUGAAGUCUUCGGAUGGAUAGAAGAACCCCUGAUGCCGUCGAGCCAAGAAAAGUUUCUAAGUUUAGCUAAUGUUGCCCGUACCGUAAACCGACACAGGUGGGUGGGAUGAGUAUUCUAAGGCGCGUGGAAGAACUCUCUUUAAGGAACUCUGCAAAAUAGCACCGUAUCUUCGGUAUAAGGUGUGGUUAGCUUUGUAUUAGGAUUUACUCCGAAAGCAAGGAAACUUACAACAAAGAGUCCCUCCCGACUGUUUACCAAAAACACAGCACUCUGCUAACUCGUAAGAGGAUGUAUAGGGUGUGACGCCUGCCCGGUGCUCGAAGGUUAAUUGAUGGGGUUAGCAUUAGCGAAGCUCUUGAUCGAAGCCCGAGUAAACGGCGGCCGUAACUAUAACGGUCCUAAGGUAGCGAAAUUCCUUGUCGGUUAAAUACCGACCUGCAUGAAUGGCGUAACGAGAUGGGAGCUGUCUCAAAGAGGGAUCCAGUGAAAUUGUAGUGGAGGUGAAAAUUCCUCCUACCCGCGGCAAGACGGAAAGACCCCGUGGACCUUUACUACAGCUUGACACUGCUACUUGGAUAAGAAUGUGCAGGAUAGGUGGGAGGCUUUGAGUAUAUGACGCCAGUUGUAUAUGAGCCAUUGUUGAGAUACCACUCUUUCUUAUUUGGGUAGCUAACCAGCUUGAGUUAUCCUCAAGUGGGACAAUGUCUGGUGGGUAGUUUGACUGGGGCGGUCGCCUCCCAAAUAAUAACGGAGGCUUACAAAGGUUGGCUCAGAACGGUUGGAAAUCGUUCGUAGAGUAUAAAGGUAUAAGCCAGCUUAACUGCAAGACAUACAAGUCAAGCAGAGACGAAAGUCGGUCUUAGUGAUCCGGUGGUUCUGUGUGGAAGGGCCAUCGCUCAAAGGAUAAAAGGUACCCCGGGGAUAACAGGCUGAUCUCCCCCAAGAGCUCACAUCGACGGGGAGGUUUGGCACCUCGAUGUCGGCUCAUCGCAUCCUGGGGCUGGAGCAGGUCCCAAGGGUAUGGCUGUUCGCCAUUUAAAGCGGUACGCGAGCUGGGUUCAGAACGUCGUGAGACAGUUCGGUCCCUAUCUGCCGUGGGCGUAAGAAGAUUGAAGAGAUUUGACCCUAGUACGAGAGGACCGGGUUGAACAAACCACUGGUGUAGCUGUUGUUCUGCCAAGAGCAUCGCAGCGUAGCUAAGUUUGGAAAGGAUAAACGCUGAAA
RNAcentral lists this ribosomal RNA (1554 nucleotides) under Campylobacter jejuni. RNAcentral's name for it is "partial 23S ribosomal RNA". It matches the Rfam family "Bacterial large subunit ribosomal RNA", at positions 1244 to 2776 of the family's 2925-position model. The record is from RNAcentral. Lineage: Bacteria; Pseudomonadati; Campylobacterota; Epsilonproteobacteria; Campylobacterales; Campylobacteraceae.